AGAGCAAAGGGUGAAAGCCUUGGCACCAGGAGCCGAAGAAGGACGUGGAAAGCUGCGAAAAGCUACGUGGAGGCGCAAACAGCCAUAGAAGCGUAGAUAUCCGAAUGGGGAAACCCGUCUAGGAAAAGCCUAGACACUAAUAACUGAAUAAAUAGGUUAUUAGGGGGAAACGUUGCGAACUGAAACAUCUAAGUAGCAACAGGAGGAGAAAGAAAAUUCGAUUACCUAAGUAGUGGCGAGCGAAAUGGUAAAAGGCCAAACCUAAACUUAUAGUUUAGGGGUUGAGGACUGCAUAAGCUAUUGCUAAGAGAUAGAGGAAUUGUUUUGGGAAAGCAAGCCAAAGAUGGUGAAAGCCCAGUACUCGAAAUUUCGAAGCAGGUGGCAGUAUCCAGAGUACCACGGGACACGAGAAACCCUGUGGGAAGCCGGGGGGACCACCCCCCAAGCCUAAAUACUCCCUGGUGACCGAUAGUGAAGUAGUACUGUGAAGGAAAGGUGAAAAGAACCCCGGGAGGGGAGUGAAAGAGAACCUGAAACCCUUUGUUUACAAACAUCGGAAGUAAAAACGACCGAGUACUUUUUGUAGAACGGUCCGGCGAGUUACUUUUGCUAGCAAGGUUAAGUAGUCAGAAGCUACGAAGCCGAAGGGAAACCGAGUCUUAAUAGGGCGAAAAGAAAGUUAGCAGGAGUAGACCCGAAACCGGGUGACCUAUCCAUGUCCAGGUUGAAGUUACCGUAAAAGGUAAUGGAGGACCGAACCCACAUAUGUUUAAAAAUAUGGGGAUGAGGUGUGGAUAGCGGAGAAAUUCCAAUCGAACCCGGAGAUAGCUGGUUCUCCUCGAAAUAGCUUUAGGGCUAGCCUUGAGAUGGAGUCUAGUGGAGGUAAAGCACUGAACUGGCGAUGGGCCCAACAAGGUUACUGACCCAAAUCAAACUAAGAAUGCCACAAAGAUACCCUCAGGAGUCAGACUAUGUGAGAUAAGUUUCAUAGUCAAAAGGGAAAGAGCCCAGACCAACAGCUAAGGCCCCAAAGUGUGUGUUAAGUGGAAAAGGAUGUGAGAUUUCGAAGACAACUAGGAUGUUGGCUUAGAAGCAGCCACUCAUUUAAAGAGUGCGUAACAGCUCACUAGUCGAGAGAACUUGCGCCGAAAAUGUUCGGGGCUAAAACACACCGCCGAAGCUAUGGAAUUAUGCGUAAGCAUGAUUGGUAGAGGAGCAAGCUGCAAGGAUGAAGCGCGAUUGAAAGAGAGCGUGGACGAAGCAGAAGAGAGAAUGCCGGAAUGAGUAGCGAGAUAAAUGUGAGAAACAUUUAGGCCGGAUGUCUAAGGAUUCCUGGGUAAAGCUUAUCUUCCCAGGGUAAGUCGGGACCUAAGGUGAGGGCGAAAGCCGUAAUCGAUGGACAACAGGUAGAGAUUCCUGUACUACGUAUAUUCAGAACUGUGGGGACACAGGAGGAUAGGAAAACCCAGGAAAGGAAAUACUGGGUCAAGCACAAAGAUAAGGACGGUAGGCAAAUCCGCCGUUUGAUGUUGAAGUGUGAUGAGGAGCGAAGAAAAGUAGCGAAGUUUCUAAAUCCACACUGUCAAGAAAAUCCGCUAUAGCGAUAUACGUACCCGUACCGUAAACCGACACAGGUAGACGAGGAGAAAAUCCACAGGCCGACGGGAGAAGCGUUGUUAAGGAACUCGGCAAAAUGACCCCGUAACUUCGGGAGAAGGGGAUCCAACGCAAGUUGGACACAGAGAAGAGGCCCAAGCGACUGUUUACCAAAAACACAGGUAUCUGCAAAACCGCAAGGUGAAGUAUAGGUGCUGACGCCUGCCCGGUGCUGGAAGGUUAAAAGGAGUGGUUAGGAGCAAUCCGAAGCUAUGAAUUGAAGCCCCAGUAAACGGCGGCCGUAACUAUAACGGUCCUAAGGUAGCGAAAUUCCUUGUCAGGUAAGUUCUGACCCGCACGAAAGGCGUAACGAUUUGGGCACUGUCUCAACAACGCACCCGGUGAAAUUGAAAAGCCAGUGAAGAUACUGGCACCCCGCGACAGGACGGAAAGACCCCAUGGAGCUUUACUGCAGCCUAAUAUUGGGAUUUGGUAUUACAUGUACAGGAUAGGAGGGAGACUUUGAAGUAUGCACGCCAGUGUAUAUGGAGUCGACGUUGGGAUACCUCCCUUGUAAUACUGGAUUUCUAACCUACAGCCAUAAUCUGGUUGGGGGACAUUGUUAGGCGGGCAGUUUGACUGGGGCGGUCGCCUCCGAAAGAGUAACGGAGGCGCUCAAAGGUAACCUCAGAAUGAUUGGAAACCAUUCGAAGAGUGUAAAGGCAGAAGGUUGCUUAACUGCGAGUGCGACGGUACGAGCAGAUACGAAAGUAGGACUUAGUGAUCCGGUGGUAAUAAGUGGGAAUGCCAUCGCUCAACGGAUAAAAGCUACCCUGGGAUAACAGGCUUAUCUCCCCCAAGAGUUCACAUCGACGGGGAGGUUUGGCACCUCGAUGUCGGCUCAUCGCAUCCUGGGGCUGUAGAAGGUCCCAAGGGUUGGGCUGUUCGCCCAUUAAAGCGGUACGCGAGCUGGGUUCAGAACGUCGUGAGACAGUUCGGUCCCUAUCCGUCGUGGGCGUAGGAAAUUUGAGAGGAGCUGUCCUUAGUACGAGAGGACCGGGAUGGACGAACCGCUGGUGUAUCUGUUGGAGACCAACUCCACGGCAGAGUAGCCAAGUUUGGAACGGAUAAACGCUGAAGGCAUCUAAGCGUGAAGCCGACCUCAAGAUAAGAUAUCCCACUGCCUAGUGCAGGUAAGACCCCUUGA
This 2803-nucleotide ribosomal RNA is filed under the name Hyles euphorbiae (spurge hawk-moth). Its description in RNAcentral is "bacterial LSU rRNA". It matches the Rfam family "Bacterial large subunit ribosomal RNA". The record is from RNAcentral. Lineage: Eukaryota; Metazoa; Arthropoda; Insecta; Lepidoptera; Sphingidae.